This is a long non-coding RNA of Megalobrama amblycephala (Wuchang bream), 656 nucleotides long. RefSeq lists it as uncharacterized. Lineage: Eukaryota; Metazoa; Chordata; Actinopteri; Cypriniformes; Xenocyprididae. The transcript has 2 exons. The record is from RefSeq and is a predicted model, not a curated record.
UCUGACGUCACAAACUACCUUAUCACGUGCAGGCGGGCUUUAGCAUAUCAUUAACUGACGCAACAAGACGCAAAGGAGUCUCAAAAGAAGGUUAUCCCGUGAGAGUUCUGCAGUGUCCCCAUCUUAGAGUGGCUCGAUGGGACAACCCAGCGGGAAAAAACAUGAGGCAAGGUCACAGUACACCCUCCACCCCUCCAAGCAGGAAGUGCCGAAGGGCCUGGCCCAUCAGAGACAGGAAGCACAAAGUGCAAACCAGCAUCCACAACCCACCCCUCCAACCGGGAAGUACACAGAAAUCUUAACCUUGCCCGCAUGCCAGUAACAGUCCUUUUCACAUCUUAUAUAGGCCUACUUGGGCGAUUUGCCGAAACAGCUCUACAAAUGUGUUAAUUGUUUUGUAAGAUGAUUACAUACUGUAUGUCUCUAUCAAUCUUUUACCUUUGCAAUGAGAUACUAUGAAUUAUAUGAUCUUUUAAAGGGCAUUUUACAAUCUAGUUCAGAUGUUUUUCAUGGCAAGAACCAGUGCUGGAUCUAGGCAUGGGCAGUGGUAGGCCGAGCCCACCCAAACAUCUGUCUUGCCCAACCAAUCAGACUUUAGGCAAAGAUAGUGUUGUUCUUUUAUGAGUUGUGCACUGAUUAAAAUCAGUUUGAAGUGG